GAUGAACGCUGGCGGCGUGCCUAAUACAUGCAAGUCGAGCGGACAGACGAUGAGCUUGCUCCUCUGACGUUAGCGGCGGACGGGUGAGUAACGCGUGGAUAACCUACCUAUCAGACUGAUAUAACUUCGGGAAACCGGAGCUUAUCCCGUAGAAGCUAUUGAACCGCGUGGGGCAAUAGUGAGAGACGGUUUUGCUGGCACUUCUAGAUGGAUCCACGCCGGAUGGGCUGGUUGGUCAGUUAACGGCUUACCAAGGGAAGGCGGCGUAGCCGAGCUGAGAGGCUGAUCGGCCACCCUGGAGCGGAGACACGGUCCAUACUCCUACGGGAGGCCGCAGUAGGGAACGUUCCGCAAUGGGCGAAAGCAUGACGCAGCAGCGCCGCGCGAGUGACGAAGGUCUUCGGUGCGUAAAAAUCUGUUAUUAGGGAAGAACAAAUGUGUACGUAACCAUGCCCGUCUUGACGGUACCUAAUCAGAAAGCACCGGCUAACUACGUG
This 497-nucleotide ribosomal RNA is filed under the name uncultured bacterium. RNAcentral describes it as "partial 16S ribosomal RNA". It matches the Rfam family "Bacterial small subunit ribosomal RNA", at positions 28 to 507 of the family's 1533-position model. The record is from RNAcentral.